CACGUAGGGCGCGAGCGUUGUCCGGAAUUAUUGGGCGUAAAGAGCUCGUAGGCGGCCUGUUGCGUCCGCUGUGAAAGCCCGGGGCUUAACCCCGGGUCGGCAGUGGAUACGGGCAGGCUAGAGGUAGGUAGGGGAGAAUGGAAUUCCCGGUGUAGCGGUGAAAUGCGCAGAUAUCGGGAGGAACACCAAUUGCGAAGGCAGCUCGCUGGGACGUUACUGACGCUGAGACGCGAAAGCGUGGGGAGCAAACAGG
RNAcentral lists this ribosomal RNA (253 nucleotides) under uncultured bacterium. RNAcentral's name for it is "partial 16S ribosomal RNA". It matches the Rfam family "Bacterial small subunit ribosomal RNA", at positions 524 to 776 of the family's 1533-position model. The record is from RNAcentral.